RNAcentral lists this transfer RNA (72 nucleotides) under Marmota monax (woodchuck). Its description in RNAcentral is "tRNA.Ala". The record is from RNAcentral. Lineage: Eukaryota; Metazoa; Chordata; Mammalia; Rodentia; Sciuridae.
GGGGUUGUGGCUCAGCGGUAGAGCACUCAUCUAGCAUGUUUCGAGGCCCUGGGUUUGAUCCUCAGCACCACA